This 139-nucleotide microRNA precursor is filed under the name Gossypium arboreum. RNAcentral describes it as "MIR7502 microRNA precursor family". It matches the Rfam family "MIR7502 microRNA precursor family". The record is from Rfam by way of RNAcentral. Lineage: Eukaryota; Viridiplantae; Streptophyta; Magnoliopsida; Malvales; Malvaceae.
CGUUAAAAAUCUCAACUAUUUCUACUAUUAAAAAUUGCCAUAGCUAACACAAGAACCAACGGUGACCUGUGGCAUGUCACAUGUACAUCGCGUAUAUAAAGAUCAAUUUUUAAUAGUAAAAAUGGAUGUAUUUUUAACA